Molecule: ribosomal RNA, 319 nt
Filed under: uncultured bacterium
Lineage: Bacteria
Description: bacterial SSU rRNA
Rfam family: Bacterial small subunit ribosomal RNA
Source: RNAcentral
GAGUUUGAUCGUGGCUCAGGAUGAACGCUGGCGGCGUGCCUAACACAUGCAAGUCGAACGAAGCACUUGCAGCGGAAUCUUCGGAGGAAGCUGCAUUUGACUGAGUGGCGGACGGGUGAGUAACGCGUGGGUAACCUGCCUUACACAGGGGGAUAACAGUUAGAAAUGACUGCUAAUACCGCAUAAGCGCACGGGACCGCAUGGUCCAGUGUGAAAAGUUUUUCGGUGUAAGAUGGACCCCGCGUCUGAUUAGCUAGUUGGCGGGUAACGGCCCACCAAGGCGACGAUCAGUAGCCGGCCUGAGAGGGUGGACGGCCAC